CACAAAAUAGAUGGCCUGGCAUUAGACUCCCCAAAGUCUGAUCCAGGUCAAUGAAAUCAAUCUGAAUCAAGUUUUCAUUCUCACCUCUUCCUGGUUCCUUGACUGCCUGCAGGGAGCAGGGACCCCUCAUGUGAUAGAUCAACUUUAAAGAAAUGGUUUUAAUGUAGCUGUCCAGCUCCAAGUUCACAACCUGCCUGCCUCGGGCUCCUAAGUGCUGUGAUUUCAGCCAUGCAACACUACUCAGCCAUUUUAUUGGGAGGCAGUCCUGAGGAUGGAAUCUAGUUGCUGCACAGGAUUGUGUCUGGGAAGGAAAACGUCAAGGC
Molecule: long non-coding RNA, 323 nt
Organism: Mastomys coucha (southern multimammate mouse)
Lineage: Eukaryota; Metazoa; Chordata; Mammalia; Rodentia; Muridae
Exons: 3
Source: RefSeq, a predicted model, not a curated record